UACGGAGGGUGCAAGCGUUAUCCGGAUUCACUGGGCUUAAAGGGUGUGUAGGCGGGCUGUUAAGUCAGUGGUGAAAUCUCCGGGCUCAACCCGGAAACUGCCAUUGAUACUAUCAGUCUUGAAUCUUGUUGAGGUAGGCGGAAUAUAUCAUGUAGCGGUGAAAUGCUUAGAUAUGAUAUAGAACACCGAUUGCGAAGGCAGCUUACUAAACAAGCAUUGACGCUGAGGCACGAAAGCGUGGGGAUCAAACAGG
This 253-nucleotide ribosomal RNA is filed under the name uncultured bacterium. RNAcentral describes it as "partial 16S ribosomal RNA". It matches the Rfam family "Bacterial small subunit ribosomal RNA", at positions 524 to 776 of the family's 1533-position model. The record is from RNAcentral.